GACGAACGCUGGCGGCGCGCCUAACACAUGCAAGUCGAACGAGAGAUGAGGAGCUUGCCCUUCAAAUCGAGUGGCGAACGGGUGAGUAACGCGUGAGGAACCUGCCUCAAAGAGGGGGACAACAGUUGGAAACGACUGCUAAUACCGCAUAAGCCCACGGCUCGGCAUCGAGCAGAGGGAAAAGGAGCAAUCCGCUUUGAGAUGGCCUCGCGUCCGAUUAGCUAGUUGGUGAGGUAACGGCCCACCAAGGCGACGAUCGGUAGCCGGACUGAGAGGUUGAACGGCCACAUUGGGACUGAGACACGGCCCAGACUCCUACGGGAGGCAGCAGUGGGGAAUAUUGCACAAUGGGGGAAACCCUGAUGCAGCGACGCCGCGUGGAGGAAGAAGGUCUUCGGAUUGUAAACUCCUGUUGUUGAGGAAGAUAAUGACGGUACUCAACAAGGAAGUGACGGCUAACUACGUGCCAGCAGCCGCGGUAAAACGUAGGUCACAAGCGUUGUCCGGAAUUACUGGGUGUAAAGGGAGCGCAGGCGGGAGAACAAGUUGGAAGUGAAAUCCAUGGGCUCAACCCAUGAACUGCUUUCAAAACUGUUUUUCUUGAGUAGUGCAGAGGUAGGCGGAAUUCCCGGUGUAGCGGUGGAAUGCGUAGAUAUCGGGAGGAACACCAGUGGCGAAGGCGGCCUACUGGGCACCAACUGACGCUGAGGCUCGAAAGUGUGGGUAGCAAACAGGAUUAGAUACCCUGGUAGUCCACACCGUAAACGAUGAUUACUAGGUGUUGGAGGAUUGACCCCUUCAGUGCCGCAGUUAACACAAUAAGUAAUCCACCUGGGGAGUACGACCGCAAGGUUGAAACUCAAAGGAAUUGACGGGGGCCCGCACAAGCAGUGGAGUAUGUGGUUUAAUUCGACGCAACGCGAAGAACCUUACCAAGUCUUGACAUCCCUUGACGAUGCUGGAAACAGUAUUUCUCUUCGGAGCAAGGAGACAGGUGGUGCAUGGUUGUCGUCAGCUCGUGUCGUGAGAUGUUGGGUUAAGUCCCGCAACGAGCGCAACCCUUAUGGUCAGUUACUACGCAAGAGGACUCUGGCCAGACUGCCGUUGACAAAACGGAGGAAGGUGGGGAUGACGUCAAAUCAUCAUGCCCUUUAUGACUUGGGCUACACACGUACUACAAUGGCGUUAAACAAAGAGAAGCAAGACCGCGAGGUGGAGCAAAACUCAGAAACAACGUCCCAGUUCGGACUGCAGGCUGCAACUCGCCUGCACGAAGUCGGAAUUGCUAGUAAUCGUGGAUCAGCAUGCCACGGUGAAUACGUUCCCAGGCCUU
Molecule: ribosomal RNA, 1333 nt
Filed under: uncultured bacterium
Lineage: Bacteria
Description: bacterial SSU rRNA
Rfam family: Bacterial small subunit ribosomal RNA
Source: RNAcentral